Molecule: long non-coding RNA, 970 nt
Filed under: Mytilus galloprovincialis (Mediterranean mussel)
Lineage: Eukaryota; Metazoa; Mollusca; Bivalvia; Mytilida; Mytilidae
Source: RNAcentral
CAAGAAUAAAAAUAUUUUAUUGAACUGCUAAAUAUUCAUGUUCACAAUUAUGUUUGAUUUCUUAGAAUAUUCUGUAAUUGCAAGACUACAUAGCCUACAUGAAGUUAUAGCAAAGCUUAUUGUAAAGAAUCAAAAACUUUUAAUUUUUAGAGCUUGAUAUUUGUGUUAUAUGUUCUAUAGGUGGUAAUUAGCUAGUCAGCUGAAAAAUAAAAUACAAUGCUUGUUAACCAACACUGCUUUUAAAUAGAAAUAACUACAGUUGCUGUUAAUGAUUCUAUUUUCUACAUGUUCCAAAAAAAAUUAUAUAAUAUGUGUAUCUAUCAUUUAAAAUUAGACAAUAAAACAAACAUCUAAUUUCCAAGGAUGAAAUUUGAGAUAAAUUUGCUUCAUAAAUAAUUAUUUUCAUGAUGAUUAGCGGAAAUUCUGUAAUUUACUAAGACUAAAAGUAGCAUUUUCUUGAUUUAACAAAUUUCAUGUAUAUGUAAAAAUGAUGAUUAGAACGUGUCCUGGUUUGAAAGUUUAGUUUCAAUAAAAAAUACACUAGAAAAGAAUAUAUUCUAUCCAACCUCCUUGGAAUGACAGAGUGCAUUUGAUUUUAUUCUUUAUAUUUGUUUUUUUUACAUAGCAACUGAAUUCUUAUCAAAAUUUAAAAAAAAACAUAAGUUCAGGCAUAAGGGGCAUUAUCUUGAUACCAAGUAAGUGCUUUCUUGGCCAAGGUUUGACAGUGAUGUUUUUUUUUCAUUUUAAACAGAAAGUACCAGAAUAGUAGAAUGUUAAAUAUAAGAAAGUAAUGACAAUUAAAGCAGAAUACUUUGCUACAUUUGCUUUAAAUCUUUAGUUUGUUAUAAUUAUUACUAGGAAAUACAACACCACUGUUUUAAAUAAGAAAUGAUAAAAACUCAGAGAUAUUUUAUCAGAUUAUGCUUAUAAACAUCUUAUCUGUUCUUUUCAAUUUUUAAGUGAAUCUAUC